AUUGAACGCUAGCGGCAUGCUUUACACAUGCAAGUCGAACGAGUGGAGGACGGGUGAAUAAUAUAUCGGAACGUGCCCAGUCGCGGGGGAUAACUACUCGAAAGAGUGGCAAAUAGCGCAUACUACUGGAGCGGCCGUUAUCGGAUUAGCUAGUUGGUGGGGUAAAGGCUCACCAAGGCAACGAUCCGUAGCUGGUUUGCGAGGAUGACCGGCCACACUGGGACUGAGACACGGCCCAGACUCCUACGGGAGGCAGCAGUGGGGAAUUUGAGACAAUGGGGGAAACCCUGAUCCAGCAAUCCCGCGUGUAUGAGAAGGCUUUCGGGUUGUAAAGCACUGUUGGCAUAGAAGCGGUAUCUGAAGAAUAAGCACCGGCUAACUACGUGCCAGCAGCCGCGGUAAUAC
Molecule: ribosomal RNA, 405 nt
Filed under: uncultured bacterium
Lineage: Bacteria
Description: partial 16S ribosomal RNA
Rfam family: Bacterial small subunit ribosomal RNA
Source: RNAcentral